GUUCAAGGAGGCAUUUGGCAUUUUUUAGAAGGACAGAGAAAGUCAGAUCCAUCCCUUCGAACUUCACUUUUCCCCCCUUUUCUGUUGGAAAUCUGUUGAUUUUAUGAUUUAUUAAUAGCAUUUUUAUGGUUGAGGAUUUUUUUAUGGAAAUCUGUUGAUCACUUGGUUGUGUAGAAAGGGGAAGCUGAAUGAAGCAUAAAUGGUGUUUGACGAAAUGCGUAAGAGAGGGAUAAGUGCUGCUAAUGCAACAUUAGCUGCUUUGGUUUAUGGAGGGGAUAAGAUAGCUUGAUGUGAGUGUUUACCAUGGGCUGAUCAAGGGUUUGUUGAAGCUUAGGAAGGCAAAGGAAGACACUCAAGUGUUUAGAAUAGCACUUGUUUAGCCUAUGUUACUCUAUCCAUGUCGUGUCUCAUAGGCUGAGACUCAACAAUACGGGGCUGAAGAGCUACAAAGCAUUAAACAAAUACGGUGUCUGCUUAUUAUCCGCUUGCCUGCUCCUUGCACUGGAGGGGCGCAUGGGGGAAGAAUUUCCAAUCCGCUGAAGUUGCUGCAGAUCUUUAGUCGUGGUUCUGGCUCUUGUGCAGCGGUUGCCACUGUUCUGAGUGGCCAAGUGAGUUUAACUAUCUAUCCUCUGUUCAGGUAUAGGCCUUUUACAGGUUUUGGCUUUUCAGUGUUGUAUAUGUUUACAUUUAGCUAGGUGUGGCAUGGCCCCUUUUUUUGUACUGCCUGUCCUCUAGAGACUCACACAACAUGUUGAAUCUACUGGUUUUCAAAUAGUCACGAGACCAGAGCUACUUUUAGUCUAGUCCUCAGUUACUUUGUGCAGCUGCAACUGGCUUAUUCCGUGACCCAAACACAGUAUGUGGUGUUGGCUCUUUUACCAAUUGCUAAGAGCCUAACCAACUUACCAAAAGCAAUAGAACUCAUAAACCAUUGGGGUUCGUAACAUAGUGACUCUUGGACUCAUAAACCCUGCACUUACACAAUAUACCUUUUUUACACAGUCACACGCCCACAUCACACCACAUGGGCACUCAAACACAUGAUCUUAUAGUUGAAACACAAUCUGUUUAAACUGAGCCGUGGAACCAGUGCAUUUUAUGAUAUAUACUUCCACAUGUGAGGCCAACAUUUUAAAAAAAAUAAAAUCAUGGCACAAUCUAAGCCACAAUGCAAUGUACAUUAUAAUUUAUGAGUAUGUCAACAAUUUAUCACAUUUUAGUAUUUAUAACCCUUAACACGCCCUUCUCUAUUUGCAUCUUCACAUGUAAUGCAAAUUCUAAUGUGGCAAGCUUGUGGGACAUUUGAACACUAGGUAGAGAGGCUCACCAUCAAAAUGUCCAUACAAAAAUCAGGAUAGUCUACUCAUUAAGCAAUCCACACGUGGAUAUUGGAUGUAGAUCAUGAGCAAGUUUUU
RNA transcript from Magnolia sinica, 1415 nucleotides. RefSeq lists it as uncharacterized. The transcript has 3 exons. The record is from RefSeq and is a predicted model, not a curated record. Lineage: Eukaryota; Viridiplantae; Streptophyta; Magnoliopsida; Magnoliales; Magnoliaceae.